ACCUCGCAUGGGGGACUGUCUAAAGGUGGGGAUCUUCGGACCUGCCGCUUUGGGAUGCGCCCGCGGCCCAUCAGCUUGUUGGUGAGGUAACGGCUCACCAAGGCUACAACGGGUAGCUGGUCUGAGAGGAUGGUCAGCCACACUGGGACUGAGACACUGCCCAGACUCCUACGGGAGGCUGCAGUCGAGAAUCAUUGUCAAUGCGCGAAAGCGUGAACAUGCGACGCCGCGUGGAGGAUGAAGGCCUUCGGGUUGUAAACUCCUGUCAUGAGGGAAAAACAGUCUGGUCGUGAAUAGCGGCCGGAUCUGAUGGUACCUCAAGAGGAAGCCACGGCUAACUCUGUGCCAGCAGCCGCGGUAAUACAGAGGUGGCGAGCGUUGCUCGGAUUUACUGGGCGUAAAGGGUGCGUAGGCGGUUCUGUGUGUCGGGUGUGAAAUCUCACCGUCCAACGGUGAAACUGCAUUCGAAACUGCAGAACUCGAGUACAGGAGGGGAGAGCGGGACUUUUGGUGUAGCGGUGAAAUGCGUAGAUAUCAAAAAGAACGCCGGUGGCGAAGGCGGCUCUCUGGACUGAUACUGACGCUGAGGCACGAAAGCUGGGGGAGCGAACGGGAUUAGAUACCCUGGUAGUCCCAGCCGUAAACGUUGUGCACUUGGUGUGGGCCGGAUUGCCCCGGUCUGUGCCGGAGCUAACGCGUUAAGUGCACCGCCUGGGGAGUACGGCCGCAAGGCUAAAACUCAAAGGAAUUGACGGGGGCCCGCACAAGCGGUGGAGCAUGUGGCUUAAUUCGAUGCAACGCGAAGAACCUUACCUGGGCUUGACAUGCAGGUAGUACGAAUCCGAAACGAUGAGGACCCUUCGGGGAGCCUGCACAGGUGCUGCAUGGCUGUCGUCAGCUCGUGCCGUGAGGUGUUGGGUUAAGUCCCGCAACGAGCGCAACCCUUGUGGUUAGUUGCCCCUUCCGUCGAGAGGCGGGAAGCACUCUAACCAGACUGCCCGUGACAAGCGGGAGGAAGGUGGGGAUGACGUCAAGUCAGUAUGGUCCUUACGCCCAGGGCUGCACACGUGCUACAAUGGUUGGUACAGAGCGAAGCAAAACCGCGAGGUGGAGCAAAUCGCUAAAACCAGCCUAAGUUCGGAUUGGAGUCUGCAACUCGACUCCAUGAAGCUGGAAUCGCUAGUAAAGGCGUAUCAGCUAC
RNAcentral lists this ribosomal RNA (1201 nucleotides) under metagenome. RNAcentral describes it as "bacterial SSU rRNA". It matches the Rfam family "Bacterial small subunit ribosomal RNA", at positions 183 to 1355 of the family's 1533-position model. The record is from RNAcentral.